UACGGAGGGGGCUAGCGUUGUUCGGAAUUACUGGGCGUAAAGCGCGCGUAGGCGGCUUUGUAAGUUAGAGGUGAAAGCCCGGAGCUCAACUCCGGAACUGCCUUUAAGACUGCAUCGCUAGAAUUGUGGAGAGGUGAGUGGAAUUCCGAGUGUAGAGGUGAAAUUCGUAGAUAUUCGCAAGAACACCAGUGGCGAAGGCGGCUCACUGGCCCGAUACUGACGCUGAGGCACGAAAGCGUGGGGAGCAAACAGG
Molecule: ribosomal RNA, 253 nt
Filed under: uncultured bacterium
Lineage: Bacteria
Description: partial 16S ribosomal RNA
Rfam family: Bacterial small subunit ribosomal RNA
Source: RNAcentral